This 253-nucleotide ribosomal RNA is filed under the name uncultured bacterium. RNAcentral describes it as "partial 16S ribosomal RNA". It matches the Rfam family "Bacterial small subunit ribosomal RNA", at positions 524 to 776 of the family's 1533-position model. The record is from RNAcentral.
CACGUAGGGGGCGAGCGUUAUCCGGAUUUAUUGGGCGUAAAGAGCUCGUAGGCGGUUUGUCGCGUCUGCCGUGAAAGUCCGGGGCUCAACUCCGGAUCUGCGGUGGGUACGGGCAGACUAGAGUGAUGUAGGGGAGACUGGAAUUCCUGGUGUAGCGGUGAAAUGCGCAGAUAUCAGGAGGAACACCGAUGGCGAAGGCAGGUCUCUGGGCAUUAACUGACGCUGAGGAGCGAAAGCAUGGGGAGCGAACAGG